UACGGGGGGGGCAAGCGUUGUUCGGAAUUACUGGGCGUAAAGGGCUCGUAGGCGGCCAACUAAGUCAGACGUGAAAUCCCUCGGCUUAACCGGGGAACUGCGUCUGAUACUGGAUGGCUUGAGGUUGGGAGAGGGAUGCGGAAUUCCAGGUGUAGCGGUGAAAUGCGUAGAUAUCUGGAGGAACACCGGUGGCGAAGGCGGCAUCCUGGACCGACAUUGACGCUGAGGCGCGAAAGCCAGGGGAGCAAACGGG
RNAcentral lists this ribosomal RNA (253 nucleotides) under uncultured bacterium. RNAcentral describes it as "partial 16S ribosomal RNA". It matches the Rfam family "Bacterial small subunit ribosomal RNA", at positions 524 to 776 of the family's 1533-position model. The record is from RNAcentral.